GAUGAACGCUGGCGGCGUGCUUAACACAUGCAAGUCGAACGAGAAUCAACGGAUUGAGGAUUCGUCCAAAUGAAGUUGAGGAAAGUGGCGGACGGGUGAGUAACGCGUGAGGAACCUGCCUCGGAGUGGGGAAUAACAGUUGGAAACGACUGCUAAUACCGCAUAAGCCCACGACCCGGCAUCGGGUUGAGGGAAAAGGAGCAAUCCGCUUUGAGAUGGCCUCGCGUCCGAUUAGCUAGUUGGUGAGGUAACGGCCCACCAAGGCAACGAUCGGUAGCCGGACUGAGAGGUUGAACGGCCACAUUGGGACUGAGACACGGCCCAG
This 325-nucleotide ribosomal RNA is filed under the name uncultured bacterium. RNAcentral describes it as "bacterial SSU rRNA". It matches the Rfam family "Bacterial small subunit ribosomal RNA", at positions 28 to 334 of the family's 1533-position model. The record is from RNAcentral.